Molecule: ribosomal RNA, 589 nt
Filed under: uncultured bacterium
Lineage: Bacteria
Description: bacterial SSU rRNA
Rfam family: Bacterial small subunit ribosomal RNA
Source: RNAcentral
AGCGGGAUGCCUUACACAUGCAAGUCGAACGGAGUGGCGAACGGGUGAGUAAUGUAUCGGAACGUGCCCAGUAGCGGGGGAUAACUACGCGAAAGCGUAGCUAAUACCGCAUACUAUUGGAGCGGCCGAUAUCGGAUUAGCUAGUUGGUGGGGUAACGGCUCACCAAGGCGGCGAUCCGUAGCUGGUUUGAGAGGACGACCAGCCACACUGGGACUGAGACACGGCCCAGACUCCUACGGGAGGCAGCAGUGGGGAAUUUUGGACAAUGGGGGAAACCCUGAUCCAGCCAUCCCGCGUGUGCGAUGAAGGCCUUCGGGUUGUAAAGCACUUUUGGCAGGAAAGCGGUACCUGCAGAAUAAGCACCGGCUAACUACGUGCCAGCAGCCGCGGUAAUACGUAGGGUGCAAGCGUUAAUCGGAAUUACUGGGCGUAAAGCGUGCGCAGGCGGUUCGGAAAGAAAGAUGUGAAAUCCCAGAGCUUAACUUUGGAACUGCAUUUUUAACUACCGGGCUAGAGUGUGUCAGAGGGAGGUGGAAUUCCGCGUGUAGCAGUGAAAUGCGUAGAUAUGCGGAGGAACACCGAUGGCGA